UCGUGGACUGAUUUGUCUGGUUGAUUCCGUUAACGAGCGAGAUCUUAACCUGCUAAAUAGGCCGCCAACACUACCAUGUUGGUAGCGCCUUCUUAGAGGGACAUUGCGUGUUUAACGCAAGGAAGUUUGAGGCAAUAACA
RNAcentral lists this ribosomal RNA (140 nucleotides) under uncultured eukaryote. RNAcentral describes it as "partial 18S ribosomal RNA". It matches the Rfam family "Eukaryotic small subunit ribosomal RNA", at positions 1299 to 1458 of the family's 1831-position model. The record is from RNAcentral.